RNAcentral lists this ribosomal RNA (1353 nucleotides) under uncultured bacterium. RNAcentral's name for it is "bacterial SSU rRNA". It matches the Rfam family "Bacterial small subunit ribosomal RNA". The record is from RNAcentral.
UUCGAUUAGAGUUUGAUCAUGGCUCAGAACGUACGCUGGCGGCACGCCUAACACAUGCAAGUCGAACGAAGUAGCAAUACUUAGUGGCAGACGGGUGAGUAACAUGUAGGUAUCUACCCUUUGGCCUGGAAUAACACGAGGAAACUUGUGCUAAUACCGGAUAAGUCUUUACGGAGAAAGCUUUAUGCACCAUUGGAUGAGCCUGCACUUGAUUAGUUUGUUGGUGGGGUAAUGGCCUACCAAGACUUUGAUCAAUAGCUGAUUUGAGAGGAUGAUCAGCCACAUUGGGACUGAGACACGGCCCAAACUCCUACGGGAGGCAGCAGUGGGGAAUCUUGCACAAUGGAGGAAACUCUGAUGCAGCGAUGCCGCGUGAGUGAAGAAGGCCCUUGGGUUGUAAAGCUCUUUCGUCGGGGAAGAAAAUGACUGUACCCGAAUAAGAAGGUCCGGCUAACUUCGUGCCAGCAGCCGCGGUAAUACGAAGGGACCUAGCGUAGUUCGGAAUUACUGGGCUUAAAGAGUUCGUAGGUGGUUGAAAAAGUUGGUGGUGAAAUCCCAGAGCUUAACUCUGGAACUGCCAUCAAAACUUUUCAGCUAGAGUUUGAUAGAGGAAAGCAGAAUUUCUAGUGUAGAGGUGAAAUUCGUAGAUAUUAGAAAGAAUACCAAUUGCGAAGGCAGCUUUCUGGAUCAUUACUGACACUGAGGAACGAAAGCAUGGGUAGCGAAGAGGAUUAGAUACCCUCGUAGUCCAUGCCGUAAACGAUGUGUGUUAGACGUUGGAAAUUUAUUUUCAGUGUCGCAGCGAAAGCGAUAAACACACCGCCUGGGGAGUACGACCGCAAGGUUAAAACUCAAAUGAAUUGACGGGGACCCGCACAAGUAGUGGAGCAUGUGGUUUAAUUCGAAGAUACGCGCAGAACCUUACCAACACUUGACAUGUUCGUCGCGACUUUAAGAGAUUAAAGUUUUCGGUUCGGCCGGGCGAAACACAGGUGCUGCAUGGCUGUCGUCAGCUCGUGUCGUGAGAUGUAGGGUUAAGUCCCGCAACGAGCGCAACCCUCACUUUUAGUUGCCAUCAUUUAGUUGGGCACUCUGAAAGAACUGCCAGUGAUAAGCUGGAGGAAGGUGGGGAUGACGUCAAGUCCUCAUGGCCCUUACGUGUUGGGCUACACACGUGCUACAAUGGUAUUUACAACAGGAAGCAAGACGGCGACGUUAAGCAAAUCCUUAAAAAAUACCUCAGUUCGGAUUGCACUCUGCAACUCGAGUGCAUGAAGCUGGAAUUACUAGUAAUCGUGGAUCAGCGUGCCACGGUGAAUGCGUUCCGCGGGUCUUGUACACACCGCCCGUAAU